Non-coding RNA from Termitomyces sp. T159_Od127, 94 nucleotides. NCBI's taxonomy places the organism in Eukaryota, Fungi, Basidiomycota, Agaricomycetes, Agaricales, Lyophyllaceae. The record is from the annotation of a GenBank genome assembly.
GGUCCAAUGGUCUAGUGGUUAUGAUUUCUGUCUUACAAAGACACAAUGUCUUCUUGUGCACAGAAGGUCUCCAGUUCGAUCCUGGAUUGGACCA